UGGGGAAUCUUGCGCAAUGGGCGGAAGCCUGACGCAGCGACGCCGCGUGCGGGAAGAAGGCCUUCGGGUUGUAAACCGCUUUCAGGAGGGACGAAGCCACUCGGGUGAAUAGCCCAGAGGGUGACGGUACCUCCAGAAGAAGCCCCGGCUAACUACGUGCCAGCAGCCGCGGUAAUACGUAGGGGGCUAGCGUUGUCCGGAUUCAUUGGGCGUAAAGCGCGUGUAGGCGGCCAGGUAGGUCCGAUGUGAAAACUGGAGGCCCAACCUCCAGCUGUCAUUGGAAACCAUCUGGCUAGAGUCCGGAAGAGGAGAGUGGAAUUCCUGGUGUAGCGGUGAAAUGCGCAGAUAUCAGGAAGAACACCGAUGGCGAAGGCAGCUCUCUGGGACGGUACUGACGCUGAGACGCGAAAGCGGUGGGGAGCGAACAGGAUUAGGAUACCCUGGUAGUCCACGCCGUAAACGAUGGCGCUAGGUGUGGGCGGUGUCGACUCCGU
RNAcentral lists this ribosomal RNA (494 nucleotides) under uncultured Actinomycetes bacterium. RNAcentral's name for it is "bacterial SSU rRNA". It matches the Rfam family "Bacterial small subunit ribosomal RNA", at positions 355 to 840 of the family's 1533-position model. Lineage: Bacteria; Bacillati; Actinomycetota; Actinomycetes. The record is from RNAcentral.